Long non-coding RNA from Scatophagus argus, 472 nucleotides. RefSeq lists it as uncharacterized. The transcript is spliced from 2 exons. The record is from RefSeq and is a predicted model, not a curated record. Lineage: Eukaryota; Metazoa; Chordata; Actinopteri; Scatophagidae.
CUGUGCGUCGCUCUGCCACGCCUCGAGAUACCGGUCAGAGCGCACCAGGUGAGGAUGAUCUGGUAAUCAACCAGUCCGGAGAGUCACGCAGUGCGCAAGCAGAGAUCAAGACUUUGUGCAAACGGAAGCUUGUUUCAAAAAAAAAAAAAAAAGAAAAAAAGAGGAAGGAGACGGUUUUCACCUGAUCGAUUGGUCAGCAUGGCAUCAAAACUUCGGAAAUAAAAGUAAAGAAGAAACGAGCAAAAAGUGUGAUCCAUGAAUGGAAUCCUGUCUAAUCCUCCUGGAACUGGCUGCUCUUUACAAUUUUGCACAUUGAAACCUUAAACAGUGAGGAACCACUUGACUUGUUUGAUAGCUUGAGUUAGUAGUUACUGACAAUACUGUAUGUCAGUGAUUAAGGUCGUUUCAUGUGUGUGAAAAUUCUCAUCCUUCUUAAGCAAAUAAACUCUUCACACUGUCACAAAGCUGAAAA